ACGCACGCUGGCGGCGUGCUUAACCCAUGCAAGUCGAACGCUGAAGCUUGGUGCUUGCACUGGGUGGAUGAGUGGCGAACGGGUGAGUAAUACGUGAGUAACCUGCCCUUGACUCUGGGAUAAGCCUGGGAAACUGGGUCUAAUACUGGAUACGACAUGUCACCGCAUGGUGGUGUGUGGAAAGGGUUUUACUGGUUUUGGAUGGGCUCACGGCCUAUCAGCUUGUUGGUGGGGUAAUGGCUCACCAAGGCGACGACGGGUAGCCGGCCUGAGAGGGUGACCGGCCACACUGGGACUGAGACACGGCCCAGACUCCUACGGGAGGCAGCAGUGGGGAAUAUUGCACAAUGGGCGGAAGCCUGAUGCAGCGACGCCGCGUGAGGGAUGACGGCCUUCGGGUUGUAAACCUCUUUCAGCACGGAAGAAGCGAAAGUGACGGUACGUGCAGAAGAAGCGCCGGCUAACUACGUG
RNAcentral lists this ribosomal RNA (471 nucleotides) under uncultured bacterium. RNAcentral's name for it is "partial 16S ribosomal RNA". It matches the Rfam family "Bacterial small subunit ribosomal RNA", at positions 29 to 507 of the family's 1533-position model. The record is from RNAcentral.